GACGAACGCUGGCGGCGUGCUUAACACAUGCAAGUCGAGCGGUAAGGCUCCUUCGGGAGUACACGAGCGGCGAACGGGUGAGUAACACGUGAGUAAUCUGCCCUUCACUUCGGGAUAACCAUCGGAAACGGUGGCUAAUACCGGAUACGACGCACUCUCGCAUGGGAUGUGCGUGGAAAGUCUUAUCGGUGGUGGUUGUGCUCGCGGCCUAUCAGCUUGUUGGAGAGGUAACGGCUCACCAAGGCUUCGACGGGUAGCCGGCCUGAGAGGGUGACCGGCCACACUGGGACUGAGACACGGCCCAGACUCCUACGGGAGGCAGCAGUGGGGAAUAUUGGACAAUGGGCGAAAGCCUGAUCCAGCAACGCCGCGUGAGGGAUGACGGCCUUCGGGUUGUAAACCUCUUUCAGUACCGACGAAGCGCCAAUAACGGUGGCGACGGUAGGUACAGAAGAAGGACCGGCCAACUACGUGCCAGCCGCCGCCGUAACAC
RNAcentral lists this ribosomal RNA (493 nucleotides) under uncultured bacterium. RNAcentral's name for it is "bacterial SSU rRNA". It matches the Rfam family "Bacterial small subunit ribosomal RNA", at positions 28 to 526 of the family's 1533-position model. The record is from RNAcentral.